GAUGAACGCUGGCGGCGUGCUUAACACAUGCAAGUCGAACGGAAAGGCUCCUGCUUGCAGGGGUACUCGAGUGGCGAACGGGUGAGUAACACGUGGGUGAUCUGCCCUGCACUUCGGGAUAAGCCUGGGAAACUGGGUCUAAUACCGGAUAGGACGAUGGUUUGGAUGCCAUUGUGGAAAGUUUUUCGGUGUGGGAUGAGCUCGCGGCCUAUCAGCUUGUUGGUGGGGUAAUGGCCUACCAAGGCGUCGACGGGUAGCCGGCCUGAGAGGGUGUACGGCCACAUUGGGACUGAGAUACGGCCCAGACUCCUACGGGAGGCAGCAGUGGGGAAUAUUGCACAAUGGGCGCAAGCCUGAUGCAGCGACGCCGCGUGGGGGAUGACGGCCUUCGGUUGUAAACUCCUUUCGCUAGGGACGAAGCGCAAGUGACGGUACCUGGAGAAGAAGCACCGGCUAACUACGUG
RNAcentral lists this ribosomal RNA (464 nucleotides) under uncultured bacterium. RNAcentral describes it as "partial 16S ribosomal RNA". It matches the Rfam family "Bacterial small subunit ribosomal RNA", at positions 28 to 507 of the family's 1533-position model. The record is from RNAcentral.